This 465-nucleotide ribosomal RNA is filed under the name uncultured bacterium. RNAcentral describes it as "partial 16S ribosomal RNA". It matches the Rfam family "Bacterial small subunit ribosomal RNA", at positions 28 to 507 of the family's 1533-position model. The record is from RNAcentral.
GACGAACGCUGGCGGCGUGCUUAACACAUGCAAGUCGAACGGAAAGGCCCUGCUUGCAGGGUAUUCGAGUGGCGAACGGGUGAGUAACACGUGGGUGAUCUGCCCUGCACUUCGGGAUAAGCCUGGGAAACUGGGUCUAAUACCGGAUAGGAGCCAUUUUUAGUGUGAUGGUUGGAAAGUUUUUUCGGUGUAGGAUGAGCUCGCGGCCUAUCAGCUUGUUGGUGGGGAAAUGGCCUACCAAGGCGGCGACGGGUAGCCGGCCUGAGAGGGUGGACGGCCACAUUGGGACUGAGAUACGGCCCAGACUCCUACGGGAGGCAGCAGUGGGGAAUAUUGCACAAUGGGCGCAAGCCUGAUGCAGCGACGCCGCGUGGGGGAUGACGGCCUUCGGGUUGUAAACUCCUUUCGCUAGGGACGAAGCUUUUUGUGACGGUACCUAGAUAAGAAGCACCGGCUAACUACGUG